GAGAGCCACAGCUAGAAGUCAUUUAUAAUGGAAAAAAUUGUACAUGCUCUCCCACCUGUAGGCUGUGGCUUAACAGUACCUGCUGAGUUGUGAGCACGUAUAUAUUCCAUGGAAUUCCCAAUAUGUAUCUUCUGAUCAAGGAUUCCUUAGAACAAUUCCACUGAAUGGAAAGUGUGACCAGACCACCUGAGUGAUACCUGGCUCAUCCUCCACGUUAGAUGUGCUCACAUAUAUUCAAAAUAAAAAAGUUACAAAACUAGUCAGCACCAGAAGAAAGUAUACGGCUGCACCAGAGGAAUUUUGGACGUUUACCAAUGUUGCUUUUCAGCUGCUUCAUCCCCAUUGCUCUUCUGUCCUACACGUGAGAGGCCAGCACUGGUGGUGUAAAUUCUGCCCUGGGGUCCUACUGCUUGUUCUCCAGGAAUCACCUGCUGAUCAGCAAGGAGACAGGCACCAAGUAGCUCAGCUCCAACUGAUGUGAUAGCUGUACCCUAUCCAGUCAUCAGUUGAAACCCACUGGAGUUUCAAAGGGCCUGGAGUUGGGUUUAUUAAGCCCAUUAUCAUCAAGGUAUGCUGGAUUAUAUAUAGAAUUCAAAUUUUUCUCUAAUAAGAUACUCUUUAUGUGUCAAGAGUUAUUAAAUAUUUCCAUGUUAUGAGAAGACUGUGAAUGUUUUUGUUUACCAGCACUUUGAUUAGCAGGCUUAUGGGCAGUUGUACGGAUACUACAGGUGAGAUACAGCUUAUUUAUACUAUUUUUAGAAGAGUUUUGAUUGGAUAUUGAAAUGUUUUCAGUUCUGUGAUUUAAAGAAAAUAUUUCUUUUGCUGGACUUCAUACUCACAGGGAAUUAGCAUAAAAUUUUGUUUCAAUAGUAUGAACAAUUAAUUUGGUGAAACAUUACUUUUCACAUCACUGAUUCCUCUGCCAUUUUCCUUAGAAGUGCACCAACUGUUGAACUUAAAAAUAAGCCAUUAACAACUUCAGUAAGUGGAAUCUAUGCCCGUAUGACAACUGAUAGCAAUUUCAGCAUCCUCCUUGUUUUCAAAGAACAUUUCUGAUGUAAAAUAAGACUGUAGAACUCAUAAAGUAUUGGAAAUUCAUUGUAGAGUGUAAUUAUCUGACUUCUAAUAAUUACCAAGAAAUGCGUGUAUGGACUUGAAAUUUAUAUUACUAAUUGAAUAAAUAAGAAC
RNAcentral lists this long non-coding RNA (1188 nucleotides) under Phasianus colchicus (ring-necked pheasant). Its description in RNAcentral is "lncRNA (ENSPCLG00000005789.1)". Lineage: Eukaryota; Metazoa; Chordata; Aves; Galliformes; Phasianidae. The record is from RNAcentral.